CCGAUCUCGAAAACCUGUCCCAGUUCGGACUGGAGUCUGCAACCCGACUCACGAAGUUGGAUUCGCUAGUAAUCGCGCAUCAGCCAUGGCGCGGUGAAUACGUUCCCGGGCCUUGUACACACCGCCCGUCAAGCCAUGGGAGCCGGGGGCGCCUGAAGUCCGGGACCGCGAGGACCGGCCUAAGGCGAAACUGGUGACUGGGGCUAAGUCGUAACAAGGUAAC
This 223-nucleotide ribosomal RNA is filed under the name uncultured bacterium. RNAcentral's name for it is "partial 16S ribosomal RNA". It matches the Rfam family "Bacterial small subunit ribosomal RNA", at positions 1268 to 1500 of the family's 1533-position model. The record is from RNAcentral.